Molecule: small nuclear RNA, 160 nt
Organism: Erpetoichthys calabaricus (reedfish)
Lineage: Eukaryota; Metazoa; Chordata; Cladistia; Polypteriformes; Polypteridae
Product: U1 spliceosomal RNA
Exons: 1
Source: RefSeq, a predicted model, not a curated record
UUACUUACCUGGCAGGGGAGAUACCAUGAUCACUAAGGUGGUUCUCCCAGGGCGAGGCUCAUCCAUUGCAUUCCGAGUGUGCUGACCCCUGCGAUUUCCCCAAAUGCGGGAAACUUGACUACAUAAUUUGUGUUUGGGACUGCGUUUGCACUCUCCCCUG